UGGUGUCGCGGAAGUAGUAGACGCUGUUGCUGCCCAUGUUGUAGCUGGCCAUGGCCGCCUGCGUCGCCUUCCGCACCUGCGGGUCGUUGGGCGACAGGUCCUGCCGCUCUCCGACCUCGCGAUCCCCCGGCCGGGCCCGGGCGUCGCGGGGCAGCGCCAGGAGGCAGAGCGCGAGCAGGGCCGCCAGGCCCAGCGGCAGCAGAAGGCUCGGACGCGCCAUGGUUGCCGGCGUCGGUGUCCAGCCGCGGGCCCGCGCCGCUUUUACGGGCUGCGCGGCCCCGCCCGGCCCCGCCCGCCGCGUGCCUCCACCGGCGGGGAGGGAUCGCCGGGCCUGGGCAAGGCCGCCUUCCGGGCGCCGAGGGGGACAGCGGACAGCCCCGAGCACACCUGUGUAUCACGACGCUGCGUGCCCUCCAGGCACACCUAGUCCGGUGAGGGAAAGGGCAAGGACAGCCCCCAGCAACAAGUGCCACCAGUGGGACAGUUCACAGAGGCCCAUCACGUGUGAAAUACCAACAACAGCUACCAGCAAGCUCUUAACUGUCUCCACUGUGUAGCCUUGGAGAAGUUACUUAACUCUCACGGCCUCAAUUUCCGCCUCUGUGAAACGGGUUGCUGUGAGGAUUCAAUAAGUAAAGGGCUUAGGGGAGGCCAGGAGCUGUAUAAACAGCAGAGGAGUGAACAGGAGAAAGAGGGAACAACUGAUUUUGCCCAAGGACACCGACUGGUAAAGAGUAAACGGUGACACUGGCUUUUGAGCCCCAGCAGUCUAACCCAAAUCUGUGCUCUCAAGCCAGACUGAACCCAAAGAAUGAGAACUGGCCAGAAGGAGGUGUGUGGGUGGUCCCAGCUCUGCCGUUUACUGCCGGGGGGACUUCCAGCAAGUCCCUGGACCUCUGGGAGCCUCAGUGUCCUCAUCUGAAGAAAUGUGACAACUCUUGUCUUCUAAGGUUGUGCUGACAAUAAUGGCCUGAGACUGGGUCACCCAUAGGUAAACUGGGCCUGUGCUGGAGGUACCAGCAAUAUAGGGCUAUGAUGUUUUUUGGAAUAAUCUGACAAUCUAUAAAAAACAGCAUUGAAGUAGUCAA
Molecule: long non-coding RNA, 1088 nt
Organism: Lagenorhynchus albirostris (white-beaked dolphin)
Lineage: Eukaryota; Metazoa; Chordata; Mammalia; Artiodactyla; Delphinidae
Exons: 2
Source: RefSeq, a predicted model, not a curated record